UCAGGAAAAGUAGAAUCUAUUAAAUUAGAAUCUUUAACAAUAUCUAAUUUGUAAAUAUGACAGGUUGUAGGGCAAUUUCAACAGCAAGAAGGGACUGAAAAUACUUAGAUUACACAGGUAAUUAUAAUAGUU
Long non-coding RNA from Herpailurus yagouaroundi (jaguarundi), 132 nucleotides. RefSeq lists it as uncharacterized. The record is from RefSeq and is a predicted model, not a curated record. NCBI's taxonomy places the organism in Eukaryota, Metazoa, Chordata, Mammalia, Carnivora, Felidae. The transcript has 3 exons.